CAAAAAUAUGUGGCAAUAUACAGUGCCAAGAUGGUUUGGCAUAAUGCUUCCGACAAUGUGCUUCAGAAAUAUGCAGACUUAAGUCUUCCAUUCAGAUCUCAGUGUUUAACUGGCUCAGCCUAAAUGAGGUCGCCAUAUUUUUUUGCCCUUCUUAUCACAGAACAAACCAAAAGAUAAAUUGCACACAAGAGCAAUGUGACGGAUAGGAUGGCAUUAAAAGUAUUUGUGUGUCCAAAUAUUGCAAAUGUAGAUGCUGAUGGGAUUUUUUCUCUCUCUCCCUCUUUUUUUUUUUUUUUUAAUGCUUUGCUUUAGGACUGGUCAAGUGCCUGAAUUGGAUUACCAUCUGGAACAUAAGCAUGCAGUGUCCAGAUCUCACCUUGAUGACAGGCCAUUCGGUUCAUUUGCUCUGUAAAGAAGAAAUAAAACAUCUUUUUCAUAAGCUACA
This 445-nucleotide long non-coding RNA is filed under the name Phasianus colchicus (ring-necked pheasant). RNAcentral's name for it is "lncRNA (ENSPCLG00000008557.1)". Lineage: Eukaryota; Metazoa; Chordata; Aves; Galliformes; Phasianidae. The record is from RNAcentral.